GAUGAACGCUGGCGGCGUGCCUAAUACAUGCAAGUCGAGCGAACAGACGAGGAGCUUCUCCUCUGACGUUAGCGGCGGACGGGUGAGUAACACGUGGAUAACCUACCUAUAAGACUGGGAUAACUUCGGGAAACCGGAGCUAAUACCGGAUAAUAUAUUGAACCGCAUGGUUCAAUAGUGAAAGACGGUUUUGCUGUCACUUAUAGAUGGAUCCGCGCCGCAUUAGCUAGUUGGUAAGGUAACGGCUUACCAAGGCAACGAUGCGUAGCCGACCUGAGAGGGUGAUCGGCCACACUGGAACUGAGACACGGUCCAGACUCCUACGGGAGGCAGCAGUAGGGAAUCUUCCGCAAUGGGCGAAAGCCUGACGGAGCAACGCCGCGUGAGUGAUGAAGGUCUUCGGAUCGUAAAACUCUGUUAUUAGGGAAGAACAAAUGUGUAAGUAACUAUGCACGUCUUGACGGUACCUAAUCAGAAAGCCACGGCUAACUACGUG
Molecule: ribosomal RNA, 496 nt
Filed under: uncultured bacterium
Lineage: Bacteria
Description: partial 16S ribosomal RNA
Rfam family: Bacterial small subunit ribosomal RNA
Source: RNAcentral